This 254-nucleotide ribosomal RNA is filed under the name uncultured bacterium. RNAcentral's name for it is "partial 16S ribosomal RNA". It matches the Rfam family "Bacterial small subunit ribosomal RNA", at positions 524 to 776 of the family's 1533-position model. The record is from RNAcentral.
UACGUAGGGGUGCGAGCGUUGUCCGGAAUUAUUGGGCGUAAAGAGCUCGUAGGCGGUCUGUCGCGUCGGCUGUGAAAUCCCGAGGCUCAACCUCGGGUCUGCAGUCGAUACGGGCAAACUAGAGUAUUGCAGGGGAGACUGGAAUUCCUGGUGUAGCGGUGAAAUGCGCAGAUAUCAGGAGGAACACCGGUGGCGAAGGCGGGUCUCUGGGCAAUAACUGACGCUGAGGAGCGAAAGCGUGGGGAGCGAACAGG